RNAcentral lists this ribosomal RNA (348 nucleotides) under Vespula acadica. RNAcentral describes it as "partial 12S ribosomal RNA". Lineage: Eukaryota; Metazoa; Arthropoda; Insecta; Hymenoptera; Vespidae. The record is from RNAcentral.
AAUAAAUGUAAUUAAGAUAAAAAGAGAUUAAAUGAUAAAUCAUUAAAUUUAAAAAAUUUGGCGGUACUUAUAAUUUAGAGGAAUCUGUAUAGUAAUCGAUAAUCCACGAUAAGAAAUACUUAUUAAAAGUUUAUGUAUUGCUGUUUUAAAUAUUUAAUUGAGUUAAAUAUAAUAAAAUUUAUUAAGUUUAGUAAAAUAAUUCAAGUCAAAAUAUAGCUUUUUUAAGAUUUAAUAUGGAUUACAAUUAAUUUAAUUAUUUUUGGAUUAUAAAAUUUAAUUUUUAUAUGAAAGUGGAUUUAAAAGUAAAUUUAAUUAAUUUAUUAAAUUGAAUUAUUAAUAUAAGUAUGU